UCGUAUUUUCAUGUCAUAAACGAUCCAAAGGGGUACCAAUUAUUUGUAAAUAUAAAUAGACCUUUCUAAACCUUAUUUUCAACCGUAAAAUCAUUUCACCAGUUUCUCUGCACGAAUACCGAGAGAAACCGAGCGGUGUUCUUCGUGUUCUUCAUAAUCAAACGAAGAUUUGAAGGCGUUAUUGGAGUCAGAAUCAAGCGUGCGAAUAGUCAAAUCGAAGGUAUCGAAGAGUAGAACCUAUAUCUGCAAUCAAAACCAACAUGAGAUUCACAGAAAGGCUUAAAGAUGAGAUGAUUGAUUGAGAUUGUGAAUAAGGCUAAUGCUAGGCGAGGAGACAGAGUUGAGGAUCCAGUGGUCGAGGAGUGUGCAGGAAAGUUGAUGAGGUUGGUGCAAGCUAGAGUUGUGCUAUUGAGAUUCAGAUGUAAGUCAUAGCUGGAAUAGUUGACAGUGAUUCUUCUUAUCGAAAAUGAUCUGAUUUGGUAAGAGAUGUUGUGUAAUAAUAGUGGUGGAUUCUAAUUUCAAUACUGUAACCUGGAAGCGAUCCUGUUGCUUUUAGGGGGUUUAAAUGUUCUCUUUCGAAUCAUUUAUUAAAGUUUAAAUGUUCUCUUGAAAUUCUCCUAUUAUGGCUUUCAAGUUUGAAAUUCAGGUUUUGAAAUCA
Daucus carota subsp. sativus is the source of this 658-nucleotide long non-coding RNA. RefSeq lists it as uncharacterized. The record is from RefSeq and is a predicted model, not a curated record. NCBI's taxonomy places the organism in Eukaryota, Viridiplantae, Streptophyta, Magnoliopsida, Apiales, Apiaceae. The transcript is spliced from 2 exons.